Molecule: ribosomal RNA, 225 nt
Filed under: uncultured microorganism
Description: partial 16S ribosomal RNA
Rfam family: Bacterial small subunit ribosomal RNA
Source: RNAcentral
GUGCACAGUCGAGAAUCUUCCACAAUGGGGAAACCCUGAUGGAGCGACGCCGCGUGCGGGAUGAAGGCCCUAUGGGUUGUAAACCGCUGUUCAGUGGAAAGAACAUCCUCCGGCUGAAUAGGUCGGAGGCCUGACGUUACCACUGCAGAAAGUCCCGGCCAACUCCGUGCCAGCAGCCGCGGUAAUACGGGGGGACGAGCGUUGUCCGGAAUCAUUGGGCGUAAA